RNAcentral lists this ribosomal RNA (468 nucleotides) under uncultured bacterium. RNAcentral describes it as "partial 16S ribosomal RNA". It matches the Rfam family "Bacterial small subunit ribosomal RNA", at positions 28 to 507 of the family's 1533-position model. The record is from RNAcentral.
GACGAACGCUGGCGGCGUGCUUAACACAUGCAAGUCGAACGGAAAGGCCCUGCUUUCGUGGGGUGCUCGAGUGGCGAACGGGUGUGUAACACGUGAAUAACCUGCUCUUGACUUUGGUAUAACUUCAGGAAACUGGGGCUAAUACCGGAUAGGAGCUCCCGGUGCAUGGUGGGGGGUGGAGAGUUUUGGCGGUUGGGGAUGGACUCGCGGCUUAUCAGCUUGUUGGUGGGGUAGUGGCUUACCAAGGCUUUGACGGGUAGCCGGCCUGAGAGGGUGACCGGCCACAUUGGGACUGAGAUCCGGCCCAGACUCCUACGGGAGGCAGCAGUGGGGAAUAUGGCACAAUGGGCGGAAGCCUGAUGCAGCAACGCCGCGUGCGGGAUGACGGCCUUCGGGUUGUAACCCGCUUUCGCCUGUGACGAAGCGUGAGUGACGGUAAUGGGUAAAGAAGCACCGGCUAACUACGUG